GUGAACCAGUUUGGGACAUUAC
This 22-nucleotide ribosomal RNA is filed under the name Trichoderma longibrachiatum. RNAcentral describes it as "partial 18S ribosomal RNA". Lineage: Eukaryota; Fungi; Ascomycota; Sordariomycetes; Hypocreales; Hypocreaceae. The record is from RNAcentral.